GGCUCAGGACGAACGCUGGCGGCGUGCUUAACACAUGCAAGUCGAGCGGUAAGGCACUUCGGUGUACACGAGCGGCGAACGGGUGAGUAACACGUGAGUAAUCUGCCCUUCACUCUGGGAUAAGCACUCGAAAGGGUGUCUAAUACCGGAUACGACGGACCACCGCAUGGUGUGUUUGUGGAAACUUUUAUGGGUGGGGGAUGUGCUCGCGGCCUAUCAGCUUGUUGGUGAGGUAAUGGCUCACCAAGGCUUCGACGGGUAGCCGGCCUGAGAGGGCGAUCGGCCACACUGGGACUGAGACACGGCCCAGACUCCUACGGGAGGCAGCAGUGGGGAAUAUUGGACAAUGGGCGGAAGCCUGAUCCAGCAACGCCGCGUGAGGGAUGACUGCCUUCGGGUUGUAAACCUCUUUCAUCAUUGACGAAGCUUCAACGUUGUUGGGGUGACGGUA
RNAcentral lists this ribosomal RNA (451 nucleotides) under Nocardioides sp. RNAcentral's name for it is "bacterial SSU rRNA". It matches the Rfam family "Bacterial small subunit ribosomal RNA", at positions 21 to 477 of the family's 1533-position model. The record is from RNAcentral. Lineage: Bacteria; Bacillati; Actinomycetota; Actinomycetes; Propionibacteriales; Nocardioidaceae.